UUUUAUAUAACCUCGUGGAUGAGGAUUAUAAAAAUACCUUCAAAAAAGAAGAAGUGUCCAAGCAGAUUGGCCUGAUAGUAGGUGAAGAAGCUACAACAUGCAAAAAACAUUGGAAAGGUUUGCGUGACCAUUAUGGAAGGUGCAAACGUGCAGAGAAUCUUCCGUCAGGAAGCUCUGCAUGCAAGAGGCCGAAGUGGAAACACUAUUAACAGAUGUCCUUUUUGACAAUUAUCUAUACUGCCAGAGAACGUGGAGCAGUAUUUCCGAGGCCGACCAAUGCUUUAUUGAGGUGCAGGAAGAAAGGUCAGAGCAAGCCCAUUUUGCACCACCACCUCAACCGAGACGCCAAAAU
This is a long non-coding RNA of Rhagoletis pomonella (apple maggot), 352 nucleotides long. RefSeq lists it as uncharacterized. Lineage: Eukaryota; Metazoa; Arthropoda; Insecta; Diptera; Tephritidae. The transcript has 3 exons. The record is from RefSeq and is a predicted model, not a curated record.